RNAcentral lists this transfer RNA (92 nucleotides) under Chloroflexota bacterium. RNAcentral's name for it is "tRNA-Ser". It matches the Rfam family "tRNA". From Rfam's summary of the family: Transfer RNA (tRNA) molecules are approximately 80 nucleotides in length. Their secondary structure includes four short double-helical elements and three loops (D, anti-codon, and T loops). Lineage: Bacteria; Bacillati; Chloroflexota. The record is from RNAcentral.
GGGGAGGUCGCAUAGAGGCCGAGUGCACGUCGGUGCUAACGACGCAGGGGGUCUAAAAAGCUCCCUCGAGGGUUCGAAUCCCUCCCUCCCCG